CACAAGCGGUGGAUGAUGUGGUUUAAUUCGAUGCAACGCGAAAAACCUUACCCACCUUUGACAUGGCAGGAAUCCUAAAGAGAUUUGGGAGUGCUCGAAAGAGAACCUGCACACAGGUGCUGCAUGGCUGUCGUCAGCUCGUGUCGUGAGAUGUUGGGUUUAAGUCCCGCAACGAGCGCAACCCUUGCCAUUAGUUGCUACGAAAGGGCACUCUAAUGGGACUGCCGGUGACAAACCGGAGGAAGGUGGGGAUGACGUCAAGUCCUCAUGGCCCUUAUAGGUGGGGCUACACACGUCAUACAAUGGCCGGUACAGAGGGUAGCCAACCCGCGAGGGGGAGCCAAUCCCACAAAGCCGGUCGUAGUCCGGAUCGCAGUCUGCAACUCGACUGCGUGAAGUCGGAAUCGCUAGUAAUCGCGGAUCAGCAUGUCGCGGUGAAUACGUUCCCGGGUCUU
Molecule: ribosomal RNA, 455 nt
Filed under: uncultured Allobrachymonas sp.
Lineage: Bacteria; Pseudomonadati; Pseudomonadota; Betaproteobacteria; Burkholderiales; Comamonadaceae
Description: bacterial SSU rRNA
Rfam family: Bacterial small subunit ribosomal RNA
Source: RNAcentral